UCAUGAGCUAAUUAUAAGAUGGGGUCUAGGUUUAAACGGAGUGUUCCAAGAAUAAGAGUUUUAAAAUCAAACAUUUCAAGAAGCAGGGAAAAAGGAAGUUGCCAAGUUAGGUAAGGACUAUUUCUAGAAUGGACACAGCAUUAUUUCUGCCAUAUUAUUUUGGACAAACCAGUCAUUGAGCCAUUCAUAGUUAAGGAGGGGGGAGAUAUAGAUUCAGUCUUCACGGUUGGUAUUGGCUGUUGAUUGGAUGCUUAUCUAGGACUUUCAAAAAGAGAGCUUUAUUUGUGGCUUAUAUAAGGUCAUGAGCUAAUUAUAAGAUGGGGUCUAGGUUUAAACGGAGUGUUCCAAGAAUAAGAGUUUUAAAAUCAAACAUUUCAAGAAGCAGGGAAAAAGGAAGUUGCCAAGUUAGGUAAGGACUAUUUCUAGAAUGGACACAGCAUUAUUUCUGCCAUAUUAUUUUGGACAAACCAGUCAUUGAGCCAUUCAUAGUUAAGGAGGGGGGAGAUAUAGAUUCAGUCUUUUAGAGAAGUGGCAAGAUCAUAUCACCAAAGACUGUGUGGGAUGGUAAAUAUUACAGCCACUUAUGGAAAACAGAAUAUGCCACUGUAGGGAUACUGGAUUUUAUUUGGAAUAUAUUUCAAUGAUACAGGAUGGUUUUAGGAUGUGAAAAGAUGUAAGAUGAUUUUUUUUGAUGUAAGAUGAUUUUUUUUAAUUGAGACACACUUCAGUGGUGCUUUGUUGAAAAAUUGGUAAUUGAGAAGUUUUCAAAGCAUUUUAAGUGAGAAGAAUUUGUAGCUGAGACCAUGGUGUUAAGAGCAGAGAUGACAAAUCAAGGUUGGAUUACAUGUUAUUUGGAAUAAAAAAGAUUGGCUGAUGAAUUAGAUGCAGGUUGUGAAAAGACAACAGUAAUUAAACAUUUUAUCAACAAAUUUGAGCAACUUGGAAAAUAUAGCUCUUGACGGAAAUUGUGGAAAUUAAAGAGCAGGUUUGGAAGGUUUUAAGUCAAGGGUUCAAUGAGACAUGUUAAAUUUGAAAUGCUUAUUAGAAAUUGAACUGGAGAUAAGUUUCUGGGGUUGAAGUGUUAGGCCCAUGAUAGAGAAACAAAUAUGUGGGAAAACAGGAUUUAUAAUUUUUAAACAGGAUUUAUAAAUUUUAAACCUUUAUCCCUUUAUCAGUUUAAACCCUACUCACAUUUCUUCUUGACUACAUCUAGAUAGUAAGUUACAUAAAGAAGAGGCCACCAAGGCCUGCAUCAUUGGGUGUUCAGAGCUUGGGGAAAUGAAGAAAAGGAAGUGGUUAGCCACAUUGUCACUGUACUAUAACAAUCUCCUUGGCAUUCUUACUGACAAUACUGAAGGUGCUCCCUCCUCAGCCUCAGCCCUUUUUAUCCAUUUCAUUUACUUCUGCAUUCACAAUGGUCUUCAUAAAGUCAGCUAUAGAUAGUCAUGCUACCUUCCCAUUUAAAACUAUUUGUCAAGUAUUAGUUUAAAACUCAAAGAUCUUAGCCUUCUUGACCUAAAAGACCCUGUGGGAUGUCUCAAGAUCACCUGCAAAUAUUCUUAUCCUAAUUACCUAUACCACCUGUGCUAGAUUUUACUCAGUAAGUCCCUCAGGCUCAGUCUAUUGGACCUGCUCAUCCCUCUACCAAGAAUUUCACCCUACUUCUUCAUCCCUUUAUCAGUUUAAUCCCUACUCACUUUUCUUCACUUAAAUGCCAUAUAUCUUGAGAGUAGAUAAGAUUUUCUUUGUUUUAGCCCUUAAUUCCCUUUCCAUUGCUUCAAAGAAACUGAACUUUCUGUAUGAUCCUUUAUUUGCUAAAUUAGUAAAUAUUUGUCAUGCUCAUUAACUUCAACAGAAUAGAUCCUGUGUUUGACUCAAUUUUUAUCCAAAGUCUUGUAUGUCUGACACAUUUUUUAUAAAUAUUUUUGAGUAAAAUUUCUUGAUCUAUACAGUAUGUCUUGGGAGAUGAGGAUUAAAUAACCUAGGAAUGUGAAGACAUAAUGAUUUGUAAUAUGACUGGGUUAAAAUCCUGAACUCACAAUUCUACUCCCGUAUCUGGAGCUUUCUGAUAUGUUAACAUGGUAUAUCAAAGAAAUCUCAGGGAAAUCACUUUCCAUGUUCUACUUUUUGCUACUAAAUAAGCCACUUUCUCAUAAGCUAGUGUUACUAGGUCAUAGUUGCCAGGCACAGGAAUACCUGGGUUCAUUUGCAAGGUCCUACAAGCUUCCCUUUGUGUGCGGAGUUCAUGUUUUUAAUCAAAAGACCACCCCUCUUUACUUUCCAGCACAUUAUAAGAAUUCUCGUCUACUGUUCCCAUUUUUAAGACACCCAAAAUUUUCCUGCUUCCCCGUCUGCAUGAGUUACAAGCAUUUUCCAAGUAACCUCCAGCAAAUGAAGACUUUUUCCUGAACUGCAGCGGUAUUUUCUCCUAGGGUGGCUAAGCCUUUUAUAGUUUCAGUUUGAGACAGAGGUAACGUAUAGCACAGAGUCUCUGGGUAUUGAAAACAUGAUGGAUGUCUUGUUUGUCUUGAUUGUGCCCAGCCUCUAUUUCAGGCAUGCACCAAAUAGCCUGCCUUGAAAACUGUGAGGUGAGUCGCUAAUGCUCAAGUGCAAAAGCUCAGCUGUGAACUAGUCCCAGGAUUUUGCUUCCUGCUAUUCCUUGUUCACUAAAUUCCUAAAUAGUGAUUUCUUAUAUUUGUAUUGAACUUGUUUCUUUCAAUUCUUAAAUAUUUUCUAAGACUUGUAAUAUUUUUUUAAAUCAGAGUGCUUUAUCCAACUUAGUGAUGCUGCAUUUUUGUCAUCCUCAUUUAUUAUAUAGAGAGUAAAUUGAGAAAAAUUUUUUACAAUAGUCACAUGUUAUUCUCUGCUAAAUAUAGAAAAUAAAUUUGUAUAUGUGUCUAAGAGAAAAAAAAGAAAUCUCCUGCAUAUGGAGAUUCUAAGGCUGCAGCUACCAGCCUACACCACAGCCACAGGAACGUAGGAUUGGAGCCAUGUCUGUAACCUACACCACAGCUUAGGGCAAUGCUGGAUCCUUAACCCACUGAGAGAGGCCAGAGAUCUAACCCACAAGCUCCUGGCUACUAGUCGGAUUUGUUUCCCCUGGGCCACAGUGGGAACUCCUCAUUUAAUAUAUUUUUUACUAAAACAUUGAAUUAUAAUUAUUUAUUAUUUACUUCAUAAACAUCAUCUCAUGUUUUCCCAGUUGCAGAAAUAUGAGAUGAGGAUUAUUAAUCUCAUCUUGCAUUUCAAUAAAUCAUAUUUUCAACAAACAUUAUAUCCAUUUUACAUGUAUUUGAAAGAUUCUCAAGAACACUAGAAUCUGGAAAUAGAUAUAAAAAGAUACAUCCAGCCUGAUAACUGUUUGUAUAUAUGUAUAUAUAUUUAUAAAUUAUUCAACAUUUAAUAUGUUAAAUCUAGAGUAGAAAUUUUAGCAGAAUCUUUUGAUGUUUAGGAUCCAUAGAAAAUAUGAAGUUCAUAAUGUUUUUAAAAGAGAUGCAAAGUGCUGUAUGUCUAAUAUGUUUGAGGAAAUCAGGUCAAUGAAAUAUUAUUUAUGAACUCACAGUGUCUCACAAGUGAACAUAAAUUUUAGAAGGAAUUGGUGAGUUGAAAUUCAGUCAUUUUAACUAUGGAGUAAAGGUGGAAAGAAUAGUUCUAAAGCUGGAAUUUGUGACCAUAGUAUAGUUUGAAAAAACAGCAAUUCUGAAUUGUUCAUUAAGUGGUGUCUGUACUUUAUUUUGGAAAGUUGACUCUCUGAAAUGACAAGAGUCAAGGUUUGUUAUAAAUUUCUAGAGAGCUUCUGGGUAGGUAUCUUUAAGUAGCUAUAGCAUAAUGAUGAAUGCUGAUGGUAGAGUUAUAAAAGGUGGUAUUACAGUAGAAAACAAUAUUUGGAAGAGGAAAUAAUUUUGUCAUAAUAAUAUGUGAUUGUAGGGUUGUGAUUAGGACAAAGCUGGUUUUGUGACAGCAAGUGCCAUAUUUCUUUGUGAGCAUAAGCUUCUAUGCAAAGAAAGUACCAAUAGAGAGUAUUUUAUUUCUUUCAAUUUAGUUUUUCUACUUUUUUUAUAUACAAUAUAAUUAACAAGUGAGAAUCUGCCCACAUCACACCAGCAGAGAACAGAAUAGCAGAGCUUUAAAUGUAUUUCAACACCUGACUUUUCAGUUAAUAAAGCCAUCCAAAUGGUAAAAUUCUGCACCCUUACUUCGUGUUUCAGCCAAUUAAUUUACAUAAGUUAAAUUAACAGAUCUUAAAAAAAGCAACUUUCUCCCAACACACACCGUGCUGGUGGGUGCCAAUCUCACAGCUAAGGAGAGCAACAGUUUUGGGUCACGAAUUUUAAAUGUGAUCGUUCAUUUUAGGAACAUUUGUCCCUAAUAAGCAGCUCACAGUCAUUUUUAAAAUUGUUUAUUUUUACAACUGAUGAUUUUUCCCUCUGGGCAGUAAUUCUUGAAAAUUUGGGGUAUUAGCACAUCAUCUAGGAUUUAAGAAAAUGUAUACUGUAACUACACUGAUGUAUUUAUUCUAGGUACACAUCAAGAUUUAAAGUCCUUUUUCAGAACUCUGAAGCACUAACAAAUGAAAUAAGUGAGUGGAAGCUUAUAUUUUAUUGUGUCCAUUUUUGUAAGCUAGAGGUAUAGGCAAGUGUGUCUCAAGUGACUGGUUAGUUUACACUAUAGUUAGUCAUUUUUUAUCUGCAAUAUUUUCCAGAAAUAAGUUUUUUCCUACUGCUGUGGAGAUAUUAUUCAGUAUCUUCAAAUGCAGGAAAGAGUUCACUUCAGCAUCUAUAUUAUGUGCUGUCCUUUCUGUUGAGUAUCCUUCCUUUUUGUUCCCAUUGGCUUGCUCGGAGUCAUGCUGGUUUGCACCUUAGAUCUAAAGUCCCUUGUGUAAUGAAUAAUCAUUCCCGGUGGUUUUACAGUUGUUUCUAUUUUAACUUCAGAGACCACCUAGACUUGUGUUUUUUUAACUUGGAGGCUAUAACAUAAACUGAAAAUUCAGAGAAUGUACGAGUUUCAUAAUUCCUGUCCUCAGAGGGAUCAGAAAUUUCAAAACUAGAAUAAGUGGACAUAAAUUUUUGCCCCAUGAUUGAUAAUUGACUGUGUUCAUUUUCUCUGCCUUUCUCUGUUUUCAUAAAUAAAGGGAAUAGCUUGGCUAAUCUUGUGAUUGAUUGUGGUAAACAUCAUUCCUCUACCCCGAGACCUAUUAUUCUUUCUAUUCAAGGGAAAGUUAUAAUGUCUUAGCAAUGCUUACAAGGUCAUGGCUUCCUGUUUAGCCUCAUUUUGCACCGCUGUCAUAAAUGCUCAGUGACCCCCCUCACAAUAUUUUACUUUCCAGUCACCUAGAUGUAUGCAGUUCCCCAACUAUUUGAUACACUGUCUCUUUCCCUGGAGAUACCUACCUGACACUAAGUACUCCUCAUUCCCAUAUCUACCUCCAUUUCUCCAGACACCUGCCUACAUUUCAUUUUGGGAGCAAUGUUUUGGUUGGUAGGCUGCCUCCUCUAAAAGGACUAAUGUGCCCAUCCCAGACCAGGCAGUCUCUCCCUGGGCUUUCUGUUCAACCUUCUUAACCCUACUCCAUCCCCAGAGCAUAAAUUUAAUUUGGCUCUGUGUAUUCUAGGCUUCAAUGACAACUCCAUUUUCUGGCUAGAUAGGACUAUUCUAAAAAAUUGUCUGAUUAAUUAAAAUCUUAAAUUCUAAACAUACUAGAAAGCAUGGUACAUUCUUGGCUGCCUCCAAUUGCACAUCAAAUGCUAAUUGCUUAACUCCUUGUAAUCUGGUUUUUAUCUCUACUUCUCUGAAAUUAAUUUCCUAAUGCAGUCUUUCUGAAGACAAAAGUUUUCUCUUCUUGGUUCCACAUUCUUUGACUUUAUUGUAGAGGGUAAGGCAAUUGGUCAUUUCAUGCUUUUAAAAAAUACAGCUUCCUCUAAGUUUUGUAAUAGCUCUCCUUGAUGCUUUUUCUCGAAAUCCUCAUGCACAAUGUCCAGGUAUUCCUUAGGUUACUCUUGGGGAAUAUUCUCUUUGCUAGCUUUUCAUUAGAGAUCUCGCCCAUGUCCAUGGCCUCACCUCUCUUCUAUACCCUAAAAUUAUUCUUUUCAGUCUGACUUUUCUGCAGUUUUAGUCUGCAUUUCCCAACUUGCAGUCAUUUCCAUAGAUAUUUCCACUUAACUGUUCUCCUUCAAAUUCAGUAGGAUUUUAAAAUACUUCUCCCUGUACACUCAAAUGAGUCCAUAUUCUUAAUAUUCAAUUCUCAAAGCCACCUAGAGUUAAAAGCUUUUCUAUCUUGAUAGCCAGUUCUGUCUUCUCUUUUAACUCUUUCAUUCUUAAAUCCCAAUGGCUCUUUCUUCAGGAUUUCUCAUAUGCAUAUUCUUUUUCCCUUCUUCUAAUACCACUAUAUAUUAGGUGUCUUUUGCCC
RNAcentral lists this long non-coding RNA (6406 nucleotides) under Sus scrofa (pig). RNAcentral describes it as "lncRNA (ENSSSCG00000058394.1)". Lineage: Eukaryota; Metazoa; Chordata; Mammalia; Artiodactyla; Suidae. The record is from RNAcentral.